AUGUCUCUUCGUGCACUGGCUAUGGUUCAUGCAGAGAACGGGGAUGCUGUUGCUGAGGGACAGCAGCAGAUGAUUGACCUUGGGAUAACUGGUCCAGAAGGGCAUGCUCUCUCAAGACCUCCAGUUUUGGAAGGCGAGGCUACUUCACGGGCAAUUCGAUUAGCAAAAUUCGUCAAUACACCGUUGUAUGUUGUUCAUGUGAUGAGUACUGAUGCAAUGGAAGAGAUUGCCAAGGCUAAAAGAGAAGGUCAGAGAGUCAUCGGGGAACCUAUGGUAUCUGGGCUAGUCCUUGAUGAUUCUUGGCUUUGGGAUCCUGACUUUGCAACUGCUUCAAAGUAUGUGAUGAGUCCUCCAAUCCGGGAAGCAGGGCAUAAUAAAGCACUUCAAGCUGCUCUUUCAUCAGGAAUAUUACAGCUUGUGGGAACUGAUCAUUGCACCUUCAAUUCCACUCAGAAAGCUUUCGGUUCUGAUGAUUUCAGGAAGAUUCCCAAUGGCGUAAAUGGUAUUGAAGAAAGGAUGCAUAUAAUUUGGGAUAGCAUGGUGGAGACCGGCACAAGCACAAGCAACCAAAUCAAGCCUACCAUGCUCCAGCAAAGAUAG
This 600-nucleotide ribosomal RNA is filed under the name Triticum aestivum (bread wheat). RNAcentral describes it as "partial small subunit ribosomal RNA". The record is from RNAcentral. Lineage: Eukaryota; Viridiplantae; Streptophyta; Magnoliopsida; Poales; Poaceae.